Molecule: long non-coding RNA, 591 nt
Organism: Perca flavescens (yellow perch)
Lineage: Eukaryota; Metazoa; Chordata; Actinopteri; Perciformes; Percidae
Exons: 4
Source: RefSeq, a predicted model, not a curated record
CCCAGCCCGUACAACACCCAGUCAAACACUACCACCAAUGUUUGUGGGUGGGAAGCCAGUGAGGGAUCCUGCACUUCUACACCAUCAACUCCAACUGUGCAGAAGGGUGUAGGUGGCCCAACAUCUGGCCUCUACCUACAGUGGCCAGGGCACAACGAAGUGGUCAGCAGGGCUCACAUAACCCAAGAACAUUGGGCCAAGUCUUGUCUUGAUCCUGACAAGGCAACAAGAAAUAAAAGUUUUGACCAGCUAGCAUCUUGUGUUGGACGGCUACUUGAAGCCCUGUGCCAUGAGACCAGCUCAGACGGAUGGAUUUCAACACUAAUCCAUUUGAUGUAAGUGAAUUUAGGUUCUAAUUCAUGGGCUUGUGCACUGUAUAACAAGCCGGAAUCAGCAACACACGGUCCAUAAAUUGAAGAGGAGAGCGAGGAGGAGAGAGACAGAGUGUGGGAUGAGAGAAGGGGGUAGAAGAAUAUGGUGUUUAACUGGAAGGCAGUAUGUUUUAUCAGUCACUGGCACCAUUUAGCUGACAAAAAUGAGCAGGCCCAGCUCUGGGAAUAGGGCCUAGGCACCGGGUGUUCACCAAAUCCU